This 253-nucleotide ribosomal RNA is filed under the name uncultured bacterium. RNAcentral's name for it is "partial 16S ribosomal RNA". It matches the Rfam family "Bacterial small subunit ribosomal RNA", at positions 524 to 776 of the family's 1533-position model. The record is from RNAcentral.
UACGGAGGGUGCGAGCGUUGUUCGGAAUCACUGGGCGUAAAGCGCGUGUAGGCGGCUCGCUAAGUCUGGUGUGAAAGCCCGGGGCUCACCCCCGGAAGUGCAUCGGAUACUGUUGAGCUCGAGUCCCGGAGAGGAGAGUGGAAUUCCUGGUGUAGCGGUGAAAUGCGUAGAUAUCAGGAGGAACACCGGUGGCGAAGGCGGCUCUCUGGACGGUGACUGACGCUGAGACGCGAAAGCGUGGGGAGCAAACAGG